RNAcentral lists this ribosomal RNA (223 nucleotides) under Rafflesia patma. RNAcentral describes it as "partial 16S ribosomal RNA". It matches the Rfam family "Bacterial small subunit ribosomal RNA", at positions 734 to 979 of the family's 1533-position model. The record is from RNAcentral. Lineage: Eukaryota; Viridiplantae; Streptophyta; Magnoliopsida; Malpighiales; Rafflesiaceae.
UUCCCCGUGACACUGAGAGACGAAAGCUAGGGGAGUAGUCCUAGCCGUAAACGAUGGAUACUAGGCGCUGUGCGUAUCGACCCGUGCAGUGAUGUAGCUAACRYRUGAAGUAUCCCRCYUGGGUGGGCUGGGGAGUACGUUCRCAAGAAGGAAACUAAAAGGAAUGGACRGGGGCCURUUUUCUUUGGUUUCAUUCGAUGCAAAGCRAAGAACCUUACCACUC